This 308-nucleotide ribosomal RNA is filed under the name uncultured bacterium. Its description in RNAcentral is "partial 16S ribosomal RNA". It matches the Rfam family "Bacterial small subunit ribosomal RNA", at positions 505 to 807 of the family's 1533-position model. The record is from RNAcentral.
GAGACAGCAGUCGCCGCGGGAAUACGAAGGGUGCAAGCGUUACUCGGAAUUACUGGGCGUAAAGCGUGCGUAGGUGGUGGUUUAAGUCCGUUGUGAAAGCCCUGGGCUCAACCUGGGAAUUGCAGUGGAUACUGGGUCACUAGAGUGUGGUAGAGGAUAGUGGAAUUUCCGGUGUAGCAGUGAAAUGCGUAGAGAUCGGAAGGAACAUCUGUGGCGAAGGCGACUAUCUGGGCCAACACUGACACUGAGGCACGAAAGCGUGGGGAGCAAACAGGAUUAGAUACCCCGGUAGUCCCUGUCUCUUAUAC